This 73-nucleotide transfer RNA is filed under the name Felis catus (domestic cat). It matches the Rfam family "tRNA". Rfam says of the family: Transfer RNA (tRNA) molecules are approximately 80 nucleotides in length. Their secondary structure includes four short double-helical elements and three loops (D, anti-codon, and T loops). RNAcentral also lists the same sequence under 4 other names. Lineage: Eukaryota; Metazoa; Chordata; Mammalia; Carnivora; Felidae. The record is from Rfam by way of RNAcentral.
GCCUGGCUGGCUCAGUCAGUGGAGCGUGCAGUUCUUGAUCGCAGGGUUGUAGGUUCAAGCCCCACGUUGGGUA